ACAACUUUCAACAAUGGAUUUCUUGGGUCUCKCAUMGAUGAAGAACGCAGMGAAAUGCGAUAAGUAAUGUGAAUUGCAGAAUUCAGUGAAUCAUCGAAUGUUUGAACGCAUCUUGCGCUCCUUGGUAUUCCUUGGAGCAUCCCUGUUUGAGUGUGAUUAAU
RNAcentral lists this ribosomal RNA (161 nucleotides) under Amanita sp. 'C05'. RNAcentral describes it as "Amanita sp. 'sp-C05' 5.8S ribosomal RNA". It matches the Rfam family "5.8S ribosomal RNA". From Rfam's summary of the family: 5.8S ribosomal RNA (5.8S rRNA) is a component of the large subunit of the eukaryotic ribosome. It is transcribed by RNA polymerase I as part of the 45S precursor that also contains 18S and 28S rRNA. The record is from RNAcentral. Lineage: Eukaryota; Fungi; Basidiomycota; Agaricomycetes; Agaricales; Amanitaceae.